AUGAUAGAGUGUUGCCCGCGGGCAUAUAAUAUAUAUGUGUGGAGACCAUUACUACCUAUGAUAGAAUGUUGCCCGCGGGCAUAUAAUAUAUGUGUGGAUAUAUUUAUAUUUGUGAUUGGUAUGUCCUAUGUUCUAUCCACAUUAUGCAUUGCCUGUGUUCUUGACUUCUCGUUCAUGAACGUUAAGGCCUGUUUUGGUUCAAAGGAUAGGAAUAUCAUAGAAAUAGAAAAGAGAUGUCAUACAUCUCAGUUUUUGUUGGAAAAGAGGUGCUAUUCGAUUCGUAGGAUACAAAAUUUUCCAUAA
This 303-nucleotide ribosomal RNA is filed under the name Triticum aestivum (bread wheat). RNAcentral's name for it is "partial small subunit ribosomal RNA". The record is from RNAcentral. Lineage: Eukaryota; Viridiplantae; Streptophyta; Magnoliopsida; Poales; Poaceae.